This 650-nucleotide ribosomal RNA is filed under the name uncultured marine bacterium. RNAcentral's name for it is "bacterial SSU rRNA". It matches the Rfam family "Bacterial small subunit ribosomal RNA", at positions 84 to 768 of the family's 1533-position model. The record is from RNAcentral.
AGAAAUACUUAGUGGCAGACGGGUGAGUAACAUGUGGGUAUCUUCCCUAUGGCCUGGAAUAAUACGAGGAAACUUGUGCUAAUACCGGAUAAGUCUUUACGGAGAAAGCUUUAUGCACCAUUGGAUGAGCCCGCACUUGAUUAGUUUGUUGGUAGGGUAAUGGCCUACCAAGACUUUGAUCAAUAGCUGAUUUGAGAGGAUGAUCAGCCACAUUGGGACUGAGACACGGCCCAAACUCCUACGGGAGGCAGCAGUGGGGAAUCUUGCACAAUGGAGGAAACUCUGAUGCAGCGAUGCCGCGUGAGUGAAGAAGGCCCUUGGGUUGUAAAGCUCUUUCGUCGGGGAAGAAAAUGACUGUACCCGAAUAAGAAGGUCCGGCUAACUUCGUGCCAGCAGCCGCGGUAAUACGAAGGGACCUAGCGUAGUUCGGAAUUACUGGGCUUAAAGAGUUCGUAGGUGGUUGAAAAAGUUGGUGGUGAAAUCCCAGAGCUUAACUCUGGAACUGCCAUCAAAACUUUUCAGCUAGAGUUUGAUAGAGGAAAGCAGAAUUUCUAGUGUAGAGGUGAAAUUCGUAGAUAUUAGAAAGAAUACCAAUUGCGAAGGCAGCUUUCUGGAUCAUUACUGACACUGAGGAACGAAAGCAUGGGUAG